CCCCAGUAACGUACCUCCGACGUUUCCACCCAGCAAAUUCCCUCCGAGGCCGCCACCCAAAACGUUGUCCAGCAGCGAAUUCCCAUUGCCAUCGAGCAGUCCUUCUGGCUCUGCUGAAGAAGACGCAGACGCGUUCUGUUCACGCCGCGGAGAGGAGUAAAAAGAAGGGGAUGCCAAGCCUACAGAGUUGAGAGCGGCUUGAGCGAGGGCAGGAACGUCUGGGGUGGGGAAGGGAGCUUGCGAGCGGAGAAGAGCAGAGACGUCCCCGACAGCGGUGAGUGCGUCGGUCGACAAGAGUCCAGGAACUCCGGAGGCUAAGGCAGCGAAACUCAGAGGCGUUGUGGAUCGCGGAGAGGACAGCGCUGUCUCGCCGAGGACGGGACUGAGGAGAGAGGAAAAGCUUGGAGGAAACAAGGAAGCAUCUGGUUGAGGCGAAGAAGUGCUACGUACAGAAGGCGCUUGUGGCAGCGAGGAAGAAGACUUGGGGCGUGGGGAGGAGCUAGGGCGCGAAACGGACUGUUUUGCUGGUUGAGAGGCGGCAGCGGCGACGGGGGCUCCUUGGGCCUUUUCUUCUUUUGCUCUGCGGAAUGGAGAGGCACUUGCGGUAGAAGUUUCCGGAGAAACAGUGAACGUUUCCGGGAGUGGAAAGGCGGUGGCUUUGGAGUCCACGCCGCGCAGACGGCGGGCCGUCACCGUCGUUCGGGGAAAGAAAGACUUCUGAAGACAAAACAUAGGGUAACGCGUACUCUUUAUGAAAAGCGAAGACUCUAUUGAAACCACAAUUCAACAAUGAUAUGUGGGGAUAGUCGGUGACGAGAAGGCGGCCUUUACCAUUUUGUAACGGUUCUUCCACAACAAAGAGAGAUGCACGUUUGUGAAACGCACAUCGUGCGAUAAGACUACAGAGAGUUUGUUCGUUGUUCUGGAACGUGGAUCUUCAUGAUUUGCUGUUGGCACAGAAAAAGGAAUUGGGGAGACGCAAAGAACAGUAAAGAGUGGGAUAUACAUCGGUGAAGCAAAGACAACAGUUGUCCCUAAUCACAGAAAAGCA
Molecule: long non-coding RNA, 1051 nt
Filed under: Toxoplasma gondii VEG
Lineage: Eukaryota; Apicomplexa; Conoidasida; Eucoccidiorida; Sarcocystidae
Source: RNAcentral